Aquila chrysaetos chrysaetos is the source of this 1145-nucleotide long non-coding RNA. RefSeq lists it as uncharacterized. Lineage: Eukaryota; Metazoa; Chordata; Aves; Accipitriformes; Accipitridae. The transcript has 3 exons. The record is from RefSeq and is a predicted model, not a curated record.
CUCGAAGAAUGACUGUUUCAGCUUUCUUUCCAGCUAAUUAGGAGGAACUGACUGAGGAUCCAAAGGAAGAAAUGGUUCCAGACACCUGUCUCAUUUUCUCCAGACACAUCUGGGAAAUGGUAUGAUUUGUGGAAUUGUGCUCAGAGGGUGAUAAAGAAGCCUUUGGUUAAAAGGUGUUUUAUCUUAGACUUGACAAAGUAAAUGACGUGGUGGUUGUCAAAUCAGCUUUCUUUUCUGAGAAGGUAAACAUCAACAGCAAAAGACAAAAUGAGACCACCCUGACCUCCUUACGUGACUGAGAGCUGCUAAUUCUAAGAGUAGCUCAGACACUGGAAAUUGCUACAGACUCUUACCAUGCAUGGCAGAAUUCUUGGAAAAUCAAAUAUGCAAGUUUCCUCCAAAUAAGAACACAUCGGUUAAUACCCAUAUAGAUGUAUAGCACACUGAGGAUGCAUUUACCUUCUAAUCCCUUAGCGUAGACAUUGACCUGCUGGACAGAUAUGUGCAAAUUUGAAUUACGGCUUGUGGUAGCAGUACUACUUCAGCAGGCAGUCUCUAUACCCACAUACCAUGGUUCUUUGGUAUGAAUAUGGGAAUGAUAAGGCAUUAAAAUCUCUGAUGAUUGUGUGGGCUUUCCAAAGCAAUGGUGACAUCCCAUAUUCAAGCACAGCUGGUGGCUUUGUGCGUACCAAGAAGGUCUGAGAAGGCUUCUGGGGAGAAUACCUCUUAAUGUGGGUGUAAGAAUCAUUCAAGUGGCAUCCUGAAUAAAAAUCAACAAAUAAUGUAACAAAGAAAAGUAUCAGGGUGAACAUGGUAUUUCUUUCCUGUUUAUUGAAUAGCUCUGAGUAGAUUGUGAUCUUGAAUGCAUCUGUUGCUUGAAAUAUGAGGUAUUUAUGCAGAAACAAUAAAUAUUUGCAUUUAUAAAUUCAGGCUGUGAUUUUUACUAAUGAGACAAAUAGCUAACUUAGGGCUUUCUUAGUCAGUAUCACAGGUAGAUGAAAUAAAAUAAAAUAGAGACUACUGGCGUUUUUACGUAUUUCAGUUAAUAUUAGUGGCAUUUGCACUAAGCAGAGAAGAACGAUUUAUUUCAAAAUGCACCUGACUAGCUGUUUUUCCUCUCCUCCCCUUUCUCUUUGAAUAGAAGA